GCCACUGUAAAGGAAGGAUAGAGAGGCCCCACUAUGAUGGCAAACCAGGGAUUCAGCUUUUGAUGACUGGUCAAAAGAAACAAAAAGAUGGAUGAAGUUUGGUCCAACCAUGCAGUAGGCCAAGCGACCUAUCUCUUUAAAUUUUAGAGAAACGUCUGUACUGUACAGUUAAAGGAAAUCAUUAUUAUUUAAUCAUCCAUAAUGACCUAAUUACUAAUAAAAUUGCAAGCUUUUUUUAGUGAGAUUAAAACGUUCAUUAAUAUGUGCCACCAGCUUUUGAAUGAUGCAGUUUUUCAGAUUAAAUUCCAUUGUGUUGCACCAGUUUCAAUGACAACACAAUGCACAGUACUAAUAAUAAAACUAAUAAGUAUCAAAAUAACAAAACCGCAGCUGGGGAGAACAUCCUGGGGCAACUGUGUUAACUAAGUGUUAUCACAUUGCAAAAAUAGCGCAAAUACAAAAAAAAUCACAAUAGGCACACAACAAUUGACAGUAAUACGAAAACGUUGUUGCAAAAUCAUAAUUGCUCACACAAAUUUAGGCGUGAGAUGAUAUCAAGUGCCUGUACUGUGCAAUCAUGGUCUAAAAAUUGAAUGCAUAAACAAAACUACCAAAAGCAAUGCAAAAAAACAGACCGGUGGUUCUCCAAACUUUGAACAAAAAUAAAAAAAUAAAUUAAAAAAAAAGCCUGAGAGCUGCUUGGCCUGGAACAAAGAGACAUCAUUCUUCUCCAACCUCCCUUAAACAGGGGCAGGACAGUCCAAUUACUUUGUCGGGUAGCACCUGAGAGCAAGGAGAGGAGAACAAACUCAGCAGCUUAACAGACAUUAGAGCACAACAUAUUUUUAUGGAUAUUGAUUGAUUUAUUGAUCAAUUUGAUCAUUAUUCUCAUGGUGUCAGCUAUCAAACUUUUCCCUUCAGAACAGAAGGAAUUCACCAAGAUGAUUUGGUCCUUACUUAUAUCCUGCAGCUGUACAUUCAUGACGCAAAUCUCCUGUUGCACCACAUCCCAAAGGCCCUCUUUUGCAUUGAGAUCAGGUGGUGGAGGCCAAUGUGUGAACACAUUUUUGUGAUCAAGAAACCACUUUGAGAGUUGACCUUUGUGACACUGUGGUUAUAAAGGGAUAGAUAUGGCCAGCAACAAUCAUCAUGUAGGCAAACUGAGACUCAUCAGACCAGGCAAUGUACUUUUUGUACUUUUAGUUUCCUGUUCUUCAGUUACAAAAGGGGAACCUGGAAGCAGGAGGUAACUUCAGAGAUGCUCUUCUGCAUACUUCAGUUGUUACUAAGUAGUUACUGUUCCCUUCCUAUCAUCUCAAAGCAGCCUGCCCGUUCUUCUCUGAUCUCUGGCAUCAACAAGGCAUUUUCACCCAGGGAACUGCUGCUCACUAGAUAUGUUCUCUUUUUCAGACCAUUCUUUGCAAACUCUAGAGAUGCCGGAUGUGCAGGAAAUUUAUGGUUAAAGAAAACAGAAGUAGAAAAUCAUCAGUCUCUGAAAUACUCAGACCAGCCUAUCCAGCAUCAACAACCCAUUCAAAGUAAUUAAAAUCACCUUUGUUC
Astatotilapia calliptera (eastern happy) is the source of this 1560-nucleotide long non-coding RNA. The record is from Ensembl. Lineage: Eukaryota; Metazoa; Chordata; Actinopteri; Cichliformes; Cichlidae.